UACCUUUAAGAAUUUCAUUUUUAAAUUCAAACAACGGACCAGCUCUUAUCCCACAGAUGUCAAUUGAUUAAGACUCGCGGAUGCUAAGAACUUGUCUGAGAUUUAAUUCAGCGAGAAAAGGAGUGGAGACCAACAAAAACCAACAGGACUUCAGUGAAACGAGUAAACGUAUCGUCGAGCGACGUCGGACGACUGAUAGGGUGUAACCUAUCUACGAGACAGCUUGACAUAUUGUACGUUAGUUGAGACAACAAUCUGUGCAACAUCAGCCAAGUGAUAAAGUGCAGUUGAUAUUAACUAAUCAUAGGUGCUGGUUGAAGUACAGAAAUUUAUUAACCAAUCAAGGAAAUUAUCUGGAUAAAUGGUGGUUACUCCACCCUGGGUUGACUCCCAACAUCCCAACCGACUCCUUCGAAACUCAACCGUCUCGUUUCUGCCCGGUUAUAACUAAUGACGAUCUGGCUAAUUACCCCUGCUAAUUCGAAUCAAACCGACACACAUACGAGUGAUUUAAU
Microplitis mediator is the source of this 515-nucleotide long non-coding RNA. RefSeq lists it as uncharacterized. NCBI's taxonomy places the organism in Eukaryota, Metazoa, Arthropoda, Insecta, Hymenoptera, Braconidae. The transcript is spliced from 3 exons. The record is from RefSeq and is a predicted model, not a curated record.